CCCUUAGACGUUCUGGGCCGCACGCGCGCUACACUGACCAGUGCAACAAGCAUCCGUCCUUGGCCGACAGGCCCGGGCAAUCUUUGAACGCUGGUCGUGAUGGGGAUAGACUUUUGCAAUUUUUGGUCUUUAACGAGGAAUUCCUAGUAAACGCAAGUCAUCAACUUGCAUUGAUUACGUCCCUGCCCUUUGUACACACCGCCCGUCGCACCUACCGAUUGAAUGGUCCGGUGAAGCCUCCGGAUUGGCGCGCACCUCGGUGCCGCCGAGAAGUUGGCUAAACCUUACCAUUUAGAGGAAGGUGAAGUCGUAACA
Molecule: ribosomal RNA, 315 nt
Filed under: uncultured eukaryote
Lineage: Eukaryota
Description: partial 18S ribosomal RNA
Rfam family: Eukaryotic small subunit ribosomal RNA
Source: RNAcentral